AAGAUAAUUUUCACCAGCAAAAAAUGGCUACUUCAACCAGUUUUAAAGCAAACCCAGCAUGCUCUAAAACAUGGAGAAACAAGGCUCCCCAGAAUAAAGAUGUUACUAGAAAAGCUAAUCUGCCCGGAAGAAACUCUUCUUAGCCACUUGCAAAAGAGAAGGUGCUUAUGUU
Long non-coding RNA from Dipodomys spectabilis (banner-tailed kangaroo rat), 172 nucleotides. RefSeq lists it as uncharacterized. The record is from RefSeq and is a predicted model, not a curated record. NCBI's taxonomy places the organism in Eukaryota, Metazoa, Chordata, Mammalia, Rodentia, Heteromyidae. The transcript has 3 exons.